AAAAGUAUGGAAAAUGUUUCGAAGAGCUGAGUUGACAAUACUCAAGAUUUCUUACAUUUUUGGGUAAAAAUUGGUUUGGUUUUUGCAAUUGAUCCCCAUUCUGAAAUCUUCAAAAACUUUCUCUUUUAUUGUGGGAUUCAAAGAAUCAUUUGAAGGCUGCUGGUCACUAUUCAAUUUGCUGGUUUUGAGUUGAUUUUCUUGUUGUUUCUUCAUUGCUAAAUUGCUCUUGCUACUGAUUCAUAACUUCAGAAUUUGGUGUUGUUUAUUUUCUGUAAACAGGUAUUCUCAAAAUGUCAUGGACAUCACCUAGGUGUAUUUGAAGUUUGGGUAUGAAAUUUGAAUAAGAAAUGACGAAAUUCAUAUAAUCUUAUUCCUUUUGUUCAACCUCAUAUAUGCUUGUAAUAUUCAGCCUUAAAAUUGUUUCAAUUAGUAUAAUGAUAUAAUUUUACUGUUAUGGCAUAUAAAAAGUAGGACUGUGCUGUGGAUUGUGAAGUUUCAUAGUAAUUGUAAUUGGAUUUUGAUUGGUAUGUGUUAAUUCAACUUGUUUUGGGUUCAUUUCUUAGAGUUAUAUUGGUAAUGCUGUGGUAAGAUCAAAAAAGGAGAUCCCUAAGAGUUCUUUAGCAAAAUAUGAAUGUUUAAUAAGGCUAGGUUCAAAGAUUGCAUUCUUCAGUAGCAUAUGUAUCUUUUUGUGUUAUCUUUAUAUGCUCAUUUGUCAAAAGUAAGUCUAUGUGAUUGAGAAUCCGGGGUAAUUUUGUUAAGAUCCAAGUAAAUUUGUAUGUUGACUUCAGGGAUUUUGAUAAUAUUGGAGCAUGCUUAUCUCAAUUUGAAUGUAUAUAUUAGAUGGUGGUAUAAAUGGCAUGUGUUAACUUUUACAAUUAGUUGUGCACGGGCAAUUUAAAUUAGAAAUGGUGUUGGAAUUCCAGGAUGGCUAAUUUGUUAACUUGUACUUAAAUAACUUGAAAUCUAUAAGUCGAAAGUUAAUUCCAUUUCAUGUUUCAUGUAGUAUCUUGAUUGAUUUACGAUUAAUCUAUUGUGCAGAAAGGCUAGUUCUGAACUUGGGCCUAGUGAUGACCUAAUUAAUGAAAUCAGGGCCAUUUUGAGAUUGACAAUGACCUUAUUCACUAAAGGAAUUGGACUCACCUUGUUGCUUCAAAUUAUCUGAUGUUUGCAUGCAUGGAGAUGUGAUCUUGAGUCCUGCUUCCGCCGAUGCUUAAUCCUCCAAGGAUUUGGGCUCACGAUUGGGCCUGAGUUGGAGAUCAACCGUAUUUCUUAAUAUAUAGGGCCAGUGGUUCGAGCCAAGGCUCUUUUAUCUCCAUCUGUAAUCAGCGUGCAUCCGGUUUUUUUUCUCAUGAUUGGUCUGCUAAUUUAAAAUUACUUCAACUUCUUAGUCCAAAGUAGUUGAUAGAUCUUUCCCCUUAUUUAACUAGAAUUCACUAAUCGAAUCAUGAGGUGAGCCAUAUU
This 1461-nucleotide long non-coding RNA is filed under the name Nicotiana benthamiana. Its description in RNAcentral is "long non-coding RNA (NBEN_LNC028110)". The record is from RNAcentral. Lineage: Eukaryota; Viridiplantae; Streptophyta; Magnoliopsida; Solanales; Solanaceae.